This 229-nucleotide ribosomal RNA is filed under the name uncultured bacterium. Its description in RNAcentral is "partial 16S ribosomal RNA". It matches the Rfam family "Bacterial small subunit ribosomal RNA", at positions 104 to 334 of the family's 1533-position model. The record is from RNAcentral.
CGGGGUGAGUAAUGUACGGGGAUCUGCCUGAUGGCGGGGGGUAACUACUGGAAACGGUAGCUAAUACCGCAUAAUGUCUGCGGACCAAAGCGGGGGACCUCCGGGCCUCGCGCCAUCAGAUGAACCCAUAUGGGAUUAGCUUGUAGGUAAGGUAACGGCUUACCUAGGCGACGAUCCCUAGCUGGUCUGAGAGGAUGAUCAGCCACACUGGGACUGAGACACGGCCCAG